UGGGAUGUAGCUCAGUGGUAGAGUACUCCCUAGCAUGUACAAGGACCUGGGUUCAAAUCUCAGCACCGUAG
This 71-nucleotide transfer RNA is filed under the name Marmota monax (woodchuck). It matches the Rfam family "tRNA". Rfam says of the family: Transfer RNA (tRNA) molecules are approximately 80 nucleotides in length. Their secondary structure includes four short double-helical elements and three loops (D, anti-codon, and T loops). Lineage: Eukaryota; Metazoa; Chordata; Mammalia; Rodentia; Sciuridae. The record is from Rfam by way of RNAcentral.